UACGAAGGGGGCUAUCGUUGUUCGGAAUUACUGGGCGUAAAGCGCACGUAGGCGGACCAAUUAGUUGAGGGUGAAAUCCCGGGGCUCAACCCCGGAACUGCCUUCAAUACUGUUGGUCUAGAGUCCGAGAGAGGUGAGUGGAAUUCCUAGUGUAGAGGUGAAAUUCGUAGAUAUUAGGAAGAACACCAGUGGCGAAGGCGGCUCACGGGCUCGGUAUUGACGAUGAGGUGCGAAAGCGUGAGGAGCAAACAGG
Molecule: ribosomal RNA, 253 nt
Filed under: uncultured bacterium
Lineage: Bacteria
Description: partial 16S ribosomal RNA
Rfam family: Bacterial small subunit ribosomal RNA
Source: RNAcentral